Molecule: non-coding RNA, 103 nt
Organism: Vararia minispora EC-137
Lineage: Eukaryota; Fungi; Basidiomycota; Agaricomycetes; Russulales; Lachnocladiaceae
Source: the annotation of a GenBank genome assembly
GGACCCCUAGCUCAGCGGUAGAGCGUGAGAUUCCAGCGUUAAGCCCGUCAAGGGAUGCGUGAGAAUAUCCUCAAGGUCAUCCGUUCGAUCCGGGUGGGGUUCA